Molecule: transfer RNA, 83 nt
Filed under: Patescibacteria group bacterium
Lineage: Bacteria
Description: tRNA-Leu
Rfam family: tRNA
About the family: Transfer RNA (tRNA) molecules are approximately 80 nucleotides in length. Their secondary structure includes four short double-helical elements and three loops (D, anti-codon, and T loops).
Source: RNAcentral
GCGGACGUGGCGAAAUGGUAGACGCGCAAGGUUUAGGACCUUGUGGCCGCAAGGUCAUGGGGGUUCGAGUCCCUUCGUCCGCA